Molecule: ribosomal RNA, 492 nt
Filed under: uncultured bacterium
Lineage: Bacteria
Description: partial 16S ribosomal RNA
Rfam family: Bacterial small subunit ribosomal RNA
Source: RNAcentral
AGUGAACGCUGGCGGUAGGCCUAACACAUGCAAGUCGAACGGCAGCACAGUAAGAGCUUGCUCUUACGGGUGGCGAGUGGCGGACGGGUGAGGAAUACAUCGGAAUCUACUUUUUCGUGGGGGAUAACGUAGGGAAACUUACGCUAAUACCGCAUACGACCUACGGGUGAAAGCAGGGGAUCUUCGGACCUUGCGCGAUUGAAUGAGCCGAUGUGGGAUUAGCUAGUUGGCGGGGUAAAGGCCCACCAAGUCGACGAUCCGUAGCUGGUCUGAGAGAAUGAUCAGCCACACUGGAACGGGGACAGGGUCCAGGCGCCUACGGGAGGCAGCAGUGGGGAAUAUUGGACAAUGGGCGCAAGCCUGAUCCAGCCAUACCGCGUGGGUGAAGAAGGCCUUCGGGUUGUAAAGCCCUUUUGUUGGGAAAGAAAAGCAGCAGGUUAAUACCCCGCUGUUCUGACGGUACCCAAAGAAUAAGCACCGGCUAACUUCGUG